AGAAAUGGUAGUAUGGCCAGUUCCUGCAUUGUGUGGGAAUACAACGGCUAAAGACGGUUAGUGGAGUGAACUCUAGCAUGUAACUCAGGGAUAAAGAUAAAAUAAUGCCAUCAUUCAAAACUAUAUCAAAUAACCAAUAUGAAAUCACAUAUAUACAUGCAUAUAUAUCAUGUCGGGAAAGGGAACAAGGUUUAGUAUGCAUUUAAAUCCUUAACCUGGAUUGUGUAGCUCUG
RNAcentral lists this long non-coding RNA (233 nucleotides) under Capsicum annuum. Its description in RNAcentral is "long non-coding RNA (CANN_LNC017187)". The record is from RNAcentral. Lineage: Eukaryota; Viridiplantae; Streptophyta; Magnoliopsida; Solanales; Solanaceae.